Molecule: ribosomal RNA, 469 nt
Filed under: Escherichia coli
Lineage: Bacteria; Pseudomonadati; Pseudomonadota; Gammaproteobacteria; Enterobacterales; Enterobacteriaceae
Description: bacterial SSU rRNA
Rfam family: Bacterial small subunit ribosomal RNA
Source: RNAcentral
AUUGAACGCUGGCGGCAGGCCUAACACAUGCAAGUCGAACGGUAACAGGAAGAAGCUUGCUUCUUUGCUGACGAGUGGUGGACGGGUGAGUAAUGUCUGGGAAACUGCCUGAUGGAGGGGGAUAACUACUGGGAACGGUAGCUAAUACCGCAUAACGUCGCAAGACCAAAGAGGGGGACCUUCGGGCCUCUUGCCAUCGGAUGUGCCCAGAUGGGAUUAGCUAGUAGGUGGGGUAACGGCUCACCUAGGCGACGAUCCCUAGCUGGUCUGAGAGGAUGACCAGCCACACUGGAACUGAGACACGGUCCAGACUCCUACGGGAGGCAGCAGUGGGGAAUAUUGCACAAUGGGCGCAAGCCUGAUGCAGCCAUGCCGCGUGUAUGAAGAAGGCCUUCGGGUUGUAAAGUACUUUCAGCGGGGAGGAAGGGAGUAAAGUUAAUACCUUUGCUCAUUGACGUACCCGCAGAAG